AACGAACGCUGGCGGCAUGCCUAACACAUGCAAGUCGAACGGGAUCCAGGCUUCGGCCUGGUGAGAGUGGCGGACGGGUGAGUAACACGUGGGAACCUGCCUUUUGGUUCGGGAUAACCGCGGGAAACUGCGGCUAAUACCGGAUGCUCCCGAGAGGGGAAAGAUUUAUCGCCAGAAGAGGGGCCCGCGUCCGAUUAGGUAGUUGGUGAGGUAAUGGCUCACCAAGCCGACGAUCGGUAGCUGGUCUGAGAGGAUGAUCAGCCACACGUGGGACUGAGAUACGGCCAGACUCCGUACGGGAGGCAGCAGGUGGGAAU
RNAcentral lists this ribosomal RNA (317 nucleotides) under uncultured bacterium. RNAcentral describes it as "bacterial SSU rRNA". It matches the Rfam family "Bacterial small subunit ribosomal RNA", at positions 29 to 362 of the family's 1533-position model. The record is from RNAcentral.